Molecule: small nuclear RNA, 76 nt
Filed under: Vulpes vulpes (red fox)
Lineage: Eukaryota; Metazoa; Chordata; Mammalia; Carnivora; Canidae
Source: RNAcentral
UUAGCUGAAAUGAUACAGAAAAGAUUAGCAUGGCCCCUGUACAAGAAUGACUGGCAAAUCUGUAAAGCAUUCUAUU